RNAcentral lists this ribosomal RNA (416 nucleotides) under uncultured bacterium. Its description in RNAcentral is "bacterial SSU rRNA". It matches the Rfam family "Bacterial small subunit ribosomal RNA", at positions 355 to 786 of the family's 1533-position model. The record is from RNAcentral.
UGGGGAAUAUUGCACAAUGGGGAAGACCCUGAUGCAGCAACGCCGCGUGAAGGAAGACGGUUUUCGGAUUGUAAACUUCUUUUCUUAGUGAAGAAGCAAGUGACGGUAGCUAAGGAAUAAGCAUCGGCUAACUACGUGCCAGCAGCCGCGGUAAUACGUAGGAUGCGAGCGUUAUCCGGAAUUACUGGGUGUAAAGGGAGCGCAGGCGGGACUGCAAGUUGGAUGUGAAAUACCGCAGCUUAACUGCGGACUGCAUCCAAAACUGUAGUUCUUGAGUGGAGUAGAGGCAAGCGGAAUUCCGAGUGUAGCGGUGAAAUGCGUAGAUAUUCGGAGGAACACCAGUGGCGAAGGCGGCUUGCUGGGCUCUAACUGACGCUGAGGCUCGAAAGUGUGGGGAGCAAACAGGAUUAGAUACC